GACGGAAGGUGCAAACGUUGUUCGUAAUUACUGGGCGUAAAGGGCGCGUAGGCGGCCUGUUAAGUCGAACGUGAAAUCCCCGGGCUCAACCCGGGAACUGCGUCCGAUACUGGCAGGCUUGAAUUCGGGAGAGGGAUGUGGAAUUCCAGGUGUAGCGGUGAAAUGCGUAGAUAUCUGGAGGAACACCGGUGGCGAAGGCGGCAUCCUGGACCGAUAUUGACGCUGAUGCGCGAAAGCCAGGGGAGCAAACGGG
Molecule: ribosomal RNA, 253 nt
Filed under: uncultured bacterium
Lineage: Bacteria
Description: partial 16S ribosomal RNA
Rfam family: Bacterial small subunit ribosomal RNA
Source: RNAcentral